This 292-nucleotide ribosomal RNA is filed under the name uncultured bacterium. Its description in RNAcentral is "partial 16S ribosomal RNA". It matches the Rfam family "Bacterial small subunit ribosomal RNA", at positions 505 to 796 of the family's 1533-position model. The record is from RNAcentral.
GUGCCAGCAGCCGCGGUAAUACGAAGGGGGCUAGCGUUGCUCGGAAUUACUGGGCGUAAAGGGAGCGUAGGCGGGUUAUCAAGUUGGAGGUGAAAGCCCAGGGCUCAACCUUGGAAUUGCCUUCAAAACUGAUAGCCUAGAGUAUGAUAGAGGUAAGUGGAACUCCGAGUGUAGAGGUGAAAUUCGUAGAUAUUCGGAAGAACACCAGUGGCGAAGGCGACUUACUGGAUCAUGACUGACGCUGAGGCUCGAAAGCGUGGGGAGCAAACAGGAUUAGAUACCCUGGUAGUCC